RNAcentral lists this transfer RNA (77 nucleotides) under Lepisosteus oculatus (spotted gar). It matches the Rfam family "tRNA". From Rfam's summary of the family: Transfer RNA (tRNA) molecules are approximately 80 nucleotides in length. Their secondary structure includes four short double-helical elements and three loops (D, anti-codon, and T loops). Lineage: Eukaryota; Metazoa; Chordata; Actinopteri; Semionotiformes; Lepisosteidae. The record is from Rfam by way of RNAcentral.
GAGGGCGAGAGGUUAAGGCGAUGGACUUGAAAUCCAUUGGGGGUUUCUCUGCGCAGGUUCAAAUCCUGUCGCCUCCA